CUUAAUUAUGUCAACUUCAUUUGAACAUUCUCAAGAUUAUCUACAGGGAUACUUUCAUGCCAAGCUGCAAUGUCAAAGCAUAUAUAUUGACGGUGUACAGAGAUUCAAGCGCAGCACCCUAAAAGGAACUUUAGACGUAUACCUCAAGUAUGACGCUUUUAUAAUCUCAUCGUUAGAAACUCCAACAAAGCAAACACCAAAUGAACUCGAGCCACGCAUGGACAGCAGACUAUAAAAUCUUGAGCUUCUCCAGUUACGCAAUUCCGUAGGAACAGUCCUUGCCUCUAUAUUAGCACUGACUUGGUAUCCAACUUGAUUUGUGUUACCAUAAAGUGAGACCUGGGAACAAAAAAUUCAGGAUGUCUUGGUGUAUGAACAAAUGAGAUAUUACCUCCUUUCUCAAUUAGCGUACUGAUCAGCUGAUCAAGGGAAAAGCAACAGUAACAAAGAUACAGUCUCUAGCCAGAUGGUGGAUGAGGUGUUAUCUUAUGAGAAACUAGCACUGGCUCAUUGCUUGCAGCUUUCACUCCAGCAAGCUCCUCUAACCGUUUCCAAGUAAUUUCACGUUUCCUCUUUACCUCCUCUUCUUGGGCCUCGUCUUCUUCGAAUUUCUGCAAACACUCUUCAAAGAGUUCAGAAUCGAUAUCAGAGAAGAUCUUGCGGACAUUUAAUGUCAAGUUUUGCACCGCCUGAUUCCAGUGGCCUCUAGCAUUCUUCUCCAAGGAAGGGAAGAUUAUCGGCAGUAUAACUCUAUGAUUUUGUUUGAUUAGGUUCUCAACAUGAUCAUUGUUCCAUAGGAACAAGGCCCUCUCAGCCACCUGAAAGUGCGAGCUGCUCAAACAACGACUGAUCUGAUGAAACAAAGGCACCAUACAACGCUGGAAUUCUGGAGGCUGAGUUGCUUCUAGAACCUCCUCCAGCUCACCUAAGAACACUACUUCCUUGGAACUGUUGUGAUA
Molecule: unclassified non-coding RNA, 959 nt
Filed under: Hevea brasiliensis (rubber tree)
Lineage: Eukaryota; Viridiplantae; Streptophyta; Magnoliopsida; Malpighiales; Euphorbiaceae
Source: RNAcentral